GAUGAACGCUAGCUACAGGCUUAACACAUGCAAGUCGAGGGGAAACGGCAUCGAAAGCUUGCUUUUGAUGGGCGUCGACCGGCGCACGGGUGAGUAACGCGUAUCCAACCUGCCCAUCACUUGGGAAUAACCUUGCGAAAGUAAGACUAAUGCCCAAUGACAUCCCACGAAGGCAUCCGAAUGGGAUUAAAGAUUUAUCGGUGAUGGAUGGGGAUGCGUCUGAUUAGCUUGUUGGCGGGGUGACGGCCCACCAAGGCAACGAUCAGUAGGGGUUCUGAGAGGAAGGUCCCCCACAUUGGAACUGAGACACGGUCCAAACUCCUACGGGAGGCAGCAGUGAGGAAUAUUGGUCAAUGGGCGAGAGCCUGAACCAGCCAAGUAGCGUGCAGGAUGACGGCCAUAUGGGUUGUAAACUGCUUUUAUAAGGGAAUAAAGUGGGUCACGUGUGACUUUUUGCAUGUACCUUAUGAAUAAGAACCGGCUAAUUCCGUG
Molecule: ribosomal RNA, 492 nt
Filed under: uncultured bacterium
Lineage: Bacteria
Description: partial 16S ribosomal RNA
Rfam family: Bacterial small subunit ribosomal RNA
Source: RNAcentral